CAGGCCUAACACAUGCAAGUCGAACGGCAGCACAGUAAGAGCUUGCUCUUACGGGUGGCGAGUGGCGGACGGGUGAGGAAUACAUCGGAAUCUACUUUUUCGUGGGGGAUAACGUAGGGAAACUUACGCUAAUACCGCAUACGACCUACGGGUGAAAGCAGGGGACCUUCGGGCCUUGCGCGAUUGAAUGAGCCGAUGUCGGAUUAGCUAGUUGGCGGGGUAAAGGCCCACCAAGGCGACGAUCCGUAGCUGGUCUGAGAGGAUGAUCAGCCACACUGGAACUGAGACACGGUCCAGACUCCUACGGGAGGCAGCAGUGGGGAAUAUUGGACAAUGGGCGCAAGCCUGAUCCAGCCAUACCGCGUGGGUGAAGAAGGCCUUCGGGUUGUAAAGCCCUUUUGUUGGGAAAGAAAUCCAGCCGGUUAAUACCUGGUUGGGAUGACGGUACCCAAAGAAUAAGCACCGGCUAACUUCGUGCCAGCAGCCGCGGUAAU
Molecule: ribosomal RNA, 494 nt
Filed under: uncultured bacterium
Lineage: Bacteria
Description: bacterial SSU rRNA
Rfam family: Bacterial small subunit ribosomal RNA
Source: RNAcentral